AGUCGGCUCGAGACGACGCUGGCGGCGUGCUUAACACAUGCAAGUCGAACGAAAGGCCCUGCUUUUGUGGGGUGCUCGAGUGGCGAACGGGUGAGUAACACGUGAGUAACCUGCCCUUGACUUUGGGAUAACUUCAGGAAACUGGGGCUAAUACCGGAUAGGAGCUCCUGCUGCAUGGUGGGGGUUGGAAAGUUUCGGCGGUUGGGAUGGACUCGCGGCUUAUCAGCUUGUUGGUGGGGUAGUGGCUUACCAAGGGCUUUGACGGGUAGCCGGCCUGAGAGGGUGACCGGCCACAUUGGGACUGAGAUACGGCCCAGACUCCUACGGGAGGCAGCAGUGGGGAAUAUUGCACAAUGGGCGGAAGCCUGAUGCAGCAACGCCGCGUGCGGGAUGACGGCCCUCGGGUUGUAGACCGCUUUCGCCUGUGACGAAGCGUGAGUGACGGUAAUGGGUAAAGAAGCACCGGCUAACUACGUG
RNAcentral lists this ribosomal RNA (477 nucleotides) under uncultured bacterium. RNAcentral describes it as "bacterial SSU rRNA". It matches the Rfam family "Bacterial small subunit ribosomal RNA", at positions 33 to 507 of the family's 1533-position model. The record is from RNAcentral.